GAUCCCAUCGUCUAAUGGUUAGGACAACAGGUUCUCAUCCUGUAAAUAUGGGUUCGACUCCCGUUGGGAUUGCCA
Molecule: transfer RNA, 75 nt
Filed under: Victivallales bacterium
Lineage: Bacteria; Pseudomonadati; Lentisphaerota; Lentisphaeria; Victivallales
Also listed under: 1 other name
Description: tRNA-Glu
Rfam family: tRNA
About the family: Transfer RNA (tRNA) molecules are approximately 80 nucleotides in length. Their secondary structure includes four short double-helical elements and three loops (D, anti-codon, and T loops). Further hydrogen bonds mediate the characteristic L-shaped molecular structure. tRNAs have two regions of fundamental functional importance: the anti-codon, which is responsible for specific mRNA codon recognition, and the 3' end, to which the tRNAs corresponding amino acid is attached (by aminoacyl-tRNA synthetases). tRNAs cope with the degeneracy of the genetic code in two manners: having more than one tRNA (with a specific anti-codon) for a particular amino acid; and 'wobble' base-pairing, i.e. permitting non-standard base-pairing at the 3rd anti-codon position.
Source: RNAcentral